AAAAGAGAGUGCAAGAGAACGUGAAACCGUUAUAGUGGAAGCGGAUGGAGCCGACGUAUCCGGCGCGUAUUCAGCCACAGGUCGGCAUGAGAUGUGUGUUCGAUGUUCUGCAAAGUCGUCGGCAUGCAUUUUCGUGUUGGCAAGUGGUGCACUUGCGCGCAGAGUGCGCCGAAUCGGUCGAGCACGCCGUUGGAAGACCGAAAAGAGGACAAGCUUCGGCUUGAAACCUGGUCGGUCGGAUGGCGGAUGGGUUUGGCUGUUGAAGGGGGAUUGGUGAAUUCGUGGUUGGCGGUGGAUAGUAGGAUUAUUCGGGUCCGGUGCAUGCAUUGAGCCCCCAUGGUUUUGCUGUCCGCUGUUCGCUGCUCAGUCCCACAUUCGGUGUCCGGUCGGUCACCCAUUUGACCCGUCUUGAAACACGGACCAAGGAGUUUAAGGUGUGCGCAAGUCAUUGAAUCAAGUGAAAUUCAAAGGCGUAAUGAAAGUGGGCCAUUUAGUGGCUGUGAUGCGAUCGGGUGGUGAUUCGUUGUCGCCUGGGCAGCAUCGACCCAUGACUGGAACUUGUUCUGUUGUGGAGUCCGAGCGUACGCUUUGAGACCCGAAAGAUGGUGAACUAUGCCCGAACAGGACGAAGUCAGAGGAAACUCUGAUGGAAGUCCG
Molecule: ribosomal RNA, 657 nt
Filed under: Aphelenchoides rutgersi
Lineage: Eukaryota; Metazoa; Nematoda; Chromadorea; Rhabditida; Aphelenchoididae
Description: partial large subunit ribosomal RNA
Rfam family: Eukaryotic large subunit ribosomal RNA
Source: RNAcentral